This is a long non-coding RNA of Pyrus x bretschneideri (Chinese white pear), 1724 nucleotides long. RefSeq lists it as uncharacterized. NCBI's taxonomy places the organism in Eukaryota, Viridiplantae, Streptophyta, Magnoliopsida, Rosales, Rosaceae. The record is from RefSeq and is a predicted model, not a curated record. The transcript is spliced from 2 exons.
GUUACUUUCUCCCUACUCUCCUUCAUGUUCUGCUUUGCCUUUCCAUUGCCUCUUGCUGCCUCAGAUCCGAUCUUCCCAUUGCCUAUCCAUCCAUCUGCAUAUCUACCUUCCAUCUGCUUGUCCUACAUCCAUACCUUCAUUUGCAUGCCCCUCUUCUGUCUUCCAUGGAUUUCAUCUCAGAGCCGUUCUGCAAUCACUUUUGACAGCGAUUUGGUGCGGUCCUCCUAUGAAAUGGUGCGUAAAGUCCGAUGUUCACACCAGCUCGGGUGGCCACACCACCACCUUUUCUCUGUCUGCCUUUUUUGACAGUGUUGCUAGUGGUAAUUCCACGAGCUUCUUUGGUUUUCCUAACCUGGUGGUCGCUAUCUACGAGAUGCUCUCUGAUGGAGGACAGAAUCUACUUUCUUUCCAUCUCUAAGGUGCUAUUUGGUUGGGCUUUCGGCAAGUGGUGGCUUUACGAUGGCGUCAGUAGAAAGGAAGUUGUUUGGGUUUAUUUCAGUGUUGUUUUGUUUUGGGCUCUUGGGUUACUUUCAAGGUCCAUUCUUUUGCAUGUGUUGUUAUGGUAUAUGGGCCUUCUAUUACGUAAUUGUUGUGCUUUGUUAAUAAAGUAACUUAGGCCAAAAAAAAAAUAAUAAUAAUGAAAAAGGUUUGAAAACUUUGAGUUUUAACAACAAGAAUAAAAUAAAUAGUACUAAGAUUAACUUUUUAGGGUAAAAAUAUAGUUUUUUUGUUAAAGUGAACAAUACCAGGAGUUUUUCGUUAAAAUUCUUUAAAAAAAAAAAUGAAAAGGAAAGUGCUGAAGUUAUUUACCUUUCAAUUUUCUUUUAGUCGGAGGAACUUAAUUGGGCCUGAAGUAACAAAAUACUGCAUUGAAAUCAAACUUGAUGAUCCCUCAGAGUCGGAGGCAUCAUCAUUUGCAAAUGCAAAACGACCCAAGAUCUCCACUUCUUGUAGUAAAUAUGGGCGGGAUUAUUAGGAAACCUCCUGAAGAAACACACGCACACUGUGGAUGUGACAUGGAUAAAUAUUCAACGCAAAGAAAAUUGAAUGGCAUAAGCAAUCCGACGGAGGCCAUUGACAUUCUUCAGAUCUCGAAGUCGGAGCCACAACCAUCCAUCAGAUCAGAUGCGGGUGUUCCUGCUCUUAGACUCGUCGUCCCCAAUCGCCAUAAUCCUCUCCGUCAUCCUCUUCCUUCUCCUAUUUCGCUUUGCUAUCCUCCUCUUCUUCCUCGUCCUCAUCUUUUUUCUCUGCGCAGACCUCGUCCACCUCCUCUUUCAUCUUUGAUUUAAUGGUUACCUAUUCUCAAAGUGAGGCUGGUGAUAAAGGGGAGAGUGCAGGGUGUGUUUUACGGGGACUGCAGUGUGGGGAAUGCAACUGAAUUAGGCUUGAAAGGUUGGGUUCGGAACCGGAUUGAUGGAUCUUUGGAACACUGCUUUCUGGGAACCCUGAUGCAGUUAAAGAGAUGGAGCAAAGGCGUCGCCGUGGUCCUCCAUCUGCAGUAGUCACGGGGCUCGAGGUUGACAAUCUUGCUUGCUUUAUGCUCCUUAGUUUGGAGGAAUCUUAGGCUUUAAGGGGUUCUUAAUAUUAAGGGGAAUACUGUAAAUUAAUCUGUUAAAGAUAAGACUUAGAAAUUGUCAUUACUACUGUGUGUAAAUGUGGUGUAUAUAUAUUCAAAAUGUAAUGUUAUAUAUUUCUUUAAUCAAUGAAAUCAUAUAUUUCUAACA